GUGUCAGCCGCCGCGGUAAAACGUAGGUGGCGAGCGUUAUCCGGAUUUACUGGGCGUAAAGAGCUUGUAGGCGGUCUUGUAAGUUGGGCGUGAAAGCCCCGGGCUUAACUCGGGGAGGCCGUUCAAUACUGCAGGGCUAGAGGAUGUCAGAGGGAGAUGGAAUACCUGGUGUAGCAGUGAAAUGCGUAGAUAUCAGGUGGAACACCCGUGGCGAAGGCGGUCUCCUGGGGCACUCCUGACGCUGAGAAGCGAAAGCUAGGGGAGCGAACGGGAUUAGAAACCCUCGUAGUCC
This 292-nucleotide ribosomal RNA is filed under the name uncultured bacterium. Its description in RNAcentral is "partial 16S ribosomal RNA". It matches the Rfam family "Bacterial small subunit ribosomal RNA", at positions 505 to 796 of the family's 1533-position model. The record is from RNAcentral.